Molecule: unclassified non-coding RNA, 266 nt
Filed under: Hevea brasiliensis (rubber tree)
Lineage: Eukaryota; Viridiplantae; Streptophyta; Magnoliopsida; Malpighiales; Euphorbiaceae
Source: RNAcentral
AUUUUAUCUCUCUAUUGCAUUUUACUCCUACACUUGUCUUGGUCCUUUCAUGCUCAAUCUUAUAUGGGUGAGAAGUGAAGGUUUAGGUUCAUAUGAUCAAACUUGGAUCUUAGUUUAUUGGAUUAGUCUACUUGGGUCCGUGUUUGUGUUGCUUUGUGCUUCUUUUGUACAGAUGAUGAAUUUUAAUCCUUCUAAGCUUUCGGAUAGUGUUAUUUGCAUCAUGUUAUGGUUUUAGCUGCUGGUUUUUGUUUGGAUUUGGAUGCAGU